This is a long non-coding RNA of Mauremys mutica (yellowpond turtle), 2744 nucleotides long. RefSeq lists it as uncharacterized. The record is from RefSeq and is a predicted model, not a curated record. Lineage: Eukaryota; Metazoa; Chordata; Testudines; Geoemydidae. The transcript is spliced from 5 exons.
UGUUGCAGCCCUUAUUUUGAAGGCUGAUCAUUUUUUCAUUAUCAGUGUUCUUGCUAAAGCAAAGAGUCAAAUUCUACUCUUGAAUGUACCUCCUGGGCUCCCAGAGAAGUCUCCAGAGUUUAUUAAUCUCAUAUAAACCAAGACAAUUAAUAAUAUUUAGUGGAGGGGAACAUUAAUACAAAAACUGAACAUUACUUUCCAUUUAGUUUUGUGGGACAAGGGCCGGGUUGGUAGCUGCUAUUUAAUAGCAGGGAAAAAAACACUCCAAGACCCACUGCCUAUUACUGUGAGAAGACAUAAGGGAAACAAAGCCACUGAAGAUAGAAGAUCAACGGGAGUUUUACCACUGAGCUCAAGGGGAGCAAAGGAGACACAUUGAAAAUAUAAGGAACUGAGAAAAUAUGAAAUAUCCCUUCAUCAGCCGUAGGAUUGAGAGUGUCCUUACGGAAACGUCCUCCUCAACGCAGGCAUUACUGCCAAAAUGUUCUGAUCACAGGAAACAUUGGACAGCAUGGAGAAGCAGGAAAAUAACAUUGAUCAGCUAAUGUGACACAAAUGCAUUUAUCAUCAUGGUCCCUCUUUGCAAUCUUCUGCUGUAAGGAAUAGAUUCACCUCUUCUGCUAGCAGCGACAUCCUCAGCUACAGAGGAAUCUGUGGUUGAAAGGAGAUCAACAGAGAACCAAGCAGCAGCAGUAGCAUGGCUCUGGAUCCGACUCAGGAAAGCAUCUCUAUUCAGGAAAGCACUUAAGCCCAAACACCACUCUGUUCCUUCUACAAACUCAAGCAUCUCUUGAAAGAUUAUAAAAUAGUGGGGCCGCUUGGCAGGUUGGUUGCCUGGAUUUGCCCUAUCUCAAAGAACAACUAUGUGCGAAAGAGAAGCCAAGAAGCAGAUGCUGGACUGAGAUGUGUGGAAUGAUUUGAAAUAUUGUGGAACUAGUUCCUUAUUAUAUCCAUUAUCCAGAAUUCAAAAAGUAUCCAAUGUGAAGAAAACUAACUGGUAGACUAAUUAAAGUAUUAUUGUAAUGACUAAAUCACAGAAAUGCCAUAAUAUGCAGUAUGUAUAUUUUGGAAUCAUGCCUACAAUUUUGUAUAUUACAGGUCUAAAAAAGACAAUUCACAUUCAUGUAACGUUCAUACAUCUGUAGGAGGAACUGGACCAUCCUUCUCAGUAUAAAAGUUUAAAAUUAAACUAAAUAUAUUAUUUAAAAUGUUUUAUUACUUUCAUAGUCGUUAAAAAUCAACACUAAUGACAGACUUGAACCAGGACCCCAUACCUAAGUCAGCUCACACUUCAGGAUGUUUGUAUCUGAGUUUCUCAGCUCUGGCCAUCUCUAAUAAAAACAGCAGGUUGAGCCCAAUUAUGGAACUGAGUUGUCAAUACAGUAUUUGUCAGAGCUCAGAAUUAAAUGGUUGCCUGAUUGAUUAGUUUGAUGAAUGAGUUGCUCAAAAGUUUUGUAUUUUUCUUGUUGAUCAAAAGGCAAUAUUGAGUAUAUUGCUAGAUUAAGCAAAAACCUCUGGCAAGGAUGAACUACCAUUUAGGUUACCUCCUUUAAGAAGUUAUUUUCCGGCCCCAUAUGUUUGCUGCAGAGAUUAAGAGCAUUGUUAAUGAGGCUAAAGAAAUGCAAUUUCUUAAUCUACCCUUUUUGUUUUUGAUCACUGAUUCUCAAACUGGUGGUAACGACGACUGAUUUAAAGGAAGUGGGCCAGAUGACAGAGUGGUUUUCAUUCAUUAGUGGGCUGGCAGCUCACAAAACAAAUGAAUGGAUGUUAAACUAUAAUUUUCUCAAUGUCUAUUUGAUUGACAAUUAGCUCCUAAAACUGGAGUUGGAGAAACACCUGCUAAAUAAAUUUCACAACAAUCUUGUAUGUUUAGUCAAUUCCACUCAAAGCAGGAGCUGAUGCUUGAGCAGUCAGUCAGUGCUAACCUAAAUUUGCAGUCACCAACCAAAUUCAAAACAGGAGACAAGUAGAGGGCAGCGGAAAGAGUGGGAGGUGCAGUAGCAACCUCCGGUGCACAAACCAUACAUACUGGCAAAGUCUACAAGAUGUAAGAAACACAUAUCAAGCCCAGUUCUGCCAUUAGUUACACCAGUGUAACUUUACUAAGUUUAACUGAGUUACUUCAAAUUUAUAUCUGUGUGACUGACAAUAGUAUUCAGAUCUUUGUGAUUUAGAGUAACUAUUUUCCAGUGCCACCUGAGAAUAUAUGCCUUCCACCUCUCCUUUAGAUUUCUUCCAGUGAACUAAUCGAGAAAAUGUUUUCAAAAGCUGAUGUCUGCACGCCAGCUAGUCACUGGUGCACUAUUCAGCUGCAAGGAUCUGCCUGCAGAAUCUCAGCCUAUGUAGUCCAACAGUAGUUUUUAUGUUUCCUCUCAUUGAUUGCAUUUGCUCCAGCUACUUAUUCCUGGAUGUUGUCACAAUAUCUGUAUAAUAUAAUACUUUGUUGCUCUACAUGUUAAAGGUGCCAUAAAAAUAUAAUUAAUCCCAAUCAGUUAAUCAGAGUGGGGGUUAUACUUUUGUAUGAAUAGGAAUAAGUGAUUGACUCCUUUUGUUUGUGUAAAUGUACCUAAAAAUUAAAGAAACAAAGUGUAUUCAUUCCAUUAUUUUAAUAAAUUUUUUUUGCAUCUUUCCAUGAAUCUCAAUUACUUCAAGAUUAAAUGAGUAAAUUGUCUAAGACACUGGAUGUUCACUGAAGUCAUUUGUUUUUCCAAUCAAUUUGUAUUAUACUUUUAAUCACCACCAAU